UACGUAGGGGGCAAGCGUUGUCCGGAAUUAUUGGGCGUAAAGAGCGUGUAGGCGGUCCGGUAAGUCAGCUGUGAAAGUCAAGGGCUCAACCCUUGAAUGCCGGUUGAUACUGUCGGGCUAGAGUCCGGAAGAGGCGAGUGGAAUUCCCGGUGUAGCGGUGAAAUGCGCAGAUAUCGGGAGGAACACCGAUGGCGAAGGCAGGUCUCUGGGCCGAUACUGACGCUGAGGAGCGAAAGCGUGGGGAGCGAACAGG
This 253-nucleotide ribosomal RNA is filed under the name uncultured bacterium. RNAcentral describes it as "partial 16S ribosomal RNA". It matches the Rfam family "Bacterial small subunit ribosomal RNA", at positions 524 to 776 of the family's 1533-position model. The record is from RNAcentral.